This 316-nucleotide ribosomal RNA is filed under the name Veleropilina oligotropha. Its description in RNAcentral is "partial 16S ribosomal RNA". The stretch from base 39 to 316 matches the Rfam family "Bacterial large subunit ribosomal RNA", at positions 2048 to 2552 of the family's 2925-position model. Lineage: Eukaryota; Metazoa; Mollusca; Monoplacophora; Tryblidiida; Neopilinidae. The record is from RNAcentral.
AAGCUUAACUGUCUCCUUCAUAGAAAAAAAAAUUAAUCUUAAUGUGAAGAAGCAUUAAUACACUUAAAAGACGAAAAGACCCUGCUGAGUUUUAGUACAGAAAUUAUUUAAAUUUCCUGCUACUUUUGUUGGGGCGACACAGGAGUAAUAAACCCUCCUUUCCUUUUAAUUCAAUAAAUCUACGACCCAAAACAUCUUAAUAAUUAUUUUUGACCAUUAGAUAAAUUACCACAGGGAUAACAGCGUUAUUUUUUUUGAAAGUUCUAAUUAACAAAAAAGUUUGCGACCUCGAUGUUGGACUAAGGCCUCCCUAAGG